This 437-nucleotide ribosomal RNA is filed under the name uncultured bacterium. RNAcentral describes it as "partial 16S ribosomal RNA". It matches the Rfam family "Bacterial small subunit ribosomal RNA", at positions 28 to 507 of the family's 1533-position model. The record is from RNAcentral.
AGCGAACGCUGGCGGCAGGCUUAACACAUGCAAGUCGAGCGGGCAUCCUUGUGGUGUCAGCGGCAGACGGGUGAGUAACGCGUGGGAACGUGCCCUUCGGUUCGGAAUAACUCAGGGAAACUUGAGCUAAUACCGGAUACGUGCGAGAGCAGAAAGGUUUAUCUGCCGAAGGAUCGGCCCGCGUCUGGUUAGAUGGUUGGUGAGGUUAUGGCUCACCAAGGCGAGGAUCAGUAGCUGGUCUGAGAGGAUGAUCAGCCACACUGGGGCUGAGACACGGCCCAGACUCCUACGGGAGGCAGGAGUGGGGAACAGUGGACAGCGGGGGCAGCCCUGAACCAGCCAGGCCGGGUGAGUGAUGUCGGUCUUGGGGUUGUAAAGCUCUUUUCUCCGGGACGAUAAUGACGGUACCGGAGGAAUAAGCCCCGGCUAACUUCGUG